This 247-nucleotide ribosomal RNA is filed under the name uncultured bacterium. RNAcentral's name for it is "partial 16S ribosomal RNA". It matches the Rfam family "Bacterial small subunit ribosomal RNA", at positions 523 to 769 of the family's 1533-position model. The record is from RNAcentral.
AGACAGAGGGUGCAAACGUUGUUCGGAAUUACUGGGCGUAAAGCGUGCGCAGGCGGUUGUGUAAGUCAGAUGUGAAACUCCCCGGGCUCAACCUGGGAACUGCAUUUGAGACUGCACGGCUAGAGUGUGACAGAGGGGGUAGAAUUCCACGUGUAGCAGUGAAAUGCGUAGAGAUGUGGAGGAAUACCGAUGGCGAAGGCAGCCCCCUGGGUUACUACUGACGCUCAUGCACGAAAGCGUGGGGAGC